This 369-nucleotide ribosomal RNA is filed under the name uncultured phototrophic eukaryote. Its description in RNAcentral is "SSU rRNA". It matches the Rfam family "Bacterial small subunit ribosomal RNA", at positions 524 to 896 of the family's 1533-position model. The record is from RNAcentral.
UACGGGGGAUGCAAGCGUUAUCCGGAAUCAUUGGGCGUAAAGCGCCUGUAGGUUGUUUAAUAAGUCUGUUGUUAAAGACUAGGGCUUAACCCUGGGAAAGCAAUGGAAACUACUAGACUAGAGUAUGGCAGGGGUAGAGGGAAUUUCUAGUGUAGCGGUGAAAUGCGUAGAUAUUAGAAAGAACACCGGUGGCGAAAGCGCUCUACUGGACCAUUACUGACACUCAGAGGCGAAAGCUAGGGUAGCAAAAGGGAUUAGAUACCCCUGUAGUCCUAGCCGUAAACGAUGGAUACUAGAUGUUGUGCUUAAUGUACAGUGUCCUAGCUAACGCGUUAAGUAUCCCGCCUGGGGAGUACGCUCGCAAGGGUG